AGAAAUGUACAAUGAAUACGUUGACGUAGCGGUGCGUGUAAUACGUGAUUUUUACUUAUAUAAUUGGAUAUAUGUAUAUGUUACUAACCCAACUUUCUUUAUUGUAGGAAUAAUUGAUACCGUUGACCUUGUGCAAUGGUAAUGGGUAAAUGGCCCCCAAAAAAAUACAAAGGUGCACGUAAUAAAGGAUCGACCAAUGCAUUACAACACUUCUGAUUGUAGCAUUUUUGUCUGCAAGUACGUUGAUUACUUUGUGAGUGGCAACAUUGAUCUUACCAAAUUAAAAUGGUCAAUGCAGGAUGGAACAGUCUUUAGAUGUCGGAUAGGCUAGAGCUCUUCUAAAUGAUGUAUUGUUAUUUAAAUUGUUUUUUAAGUUUCUGGGAAUUGAAAUACUUAUGACUUUGUAGUUUGAAUUAUUAAUGGUUGUUAUUUGAAUGGUUGAAAUAGUUAAGAUUAGUAUUUCAUUGGUGUUUAACAAGUUUUGUUAAGAUAGGCAUUUGAG
Molecule: long non-coding RNA, 502 nt
Filed under: Panax ginseng (ginseng)
Lineage: Eukaryota; Viridiplantae; Streptophyta; Magnoliopsida; Apiales; Araliaceae
Description: long non-coding RNA (PGIN_LNC015169)
Source: RNAcentral